GGUUUGCUCAGAUUGAUCCUCUGAUGAUCUUUGGCCUUCUAAUGAUAUUGACUCUUUGAGGCUGGCAGUCUUGAUGGCCCAUACCUUGAGUUAUUUUUAUCUCAGCUUGAUCUUUAUUUUAUUUUUGAGUUUGAUAUCUAUCGUAGCCUUAUUUAAUUUUUGCCUCUACUCAUGUGCUCAAGAACCUGUUAUUCUACAAGAAAGAAAUAGAAUAGUGGAUUGGGCUUGAGAGCCUAUUACCAUAAAAGUUAUGAGUUUUGUUUGAGAGCCUUUGAAUUUUGCUCGACUCUUUCCUGUUAUUUGUCUCAGCUUGGACUUGAGCUUUACCUCAGU
Molecule: long non-coding RNA, 333 nt
Filed under: Elaeis guineensis (African oil palm)
Lineage: Eukaryota; Viridiplantae; Streptophyta; Magnoliopsida; Arecales; Arecaceae
Description: long non-coding RNA (EGUI_LNC009780)
Source: RNAcentral